AUGGAGAAUAUUAAACGAACAAAUUCGCCCCUCCGCAAAAUCUCAUGUCCUUGCCAACAAUGGCACCUCUACCUUCUUCUGGCUUGUCUCCUCCCAACUCCGCUCGCAGACACCUACCCACACUUCUUCUCUGUCUCCAUCUCACCCUCAGUUCUGGCAUCACAUGUCAUGCAGAAUGGUUUACUCGCUACUCUGCAAAACCGCCUAACAAAUGUUGCUUCUAUAGAGCUUGCGUUUGUUUUGUCUUUUUUGCAAGAUGUUGCCGCCAGUGAUGCGCCCGACGACAGGUUCCUCACCCACGGCUCCCCGUUCUCUUCAAGGUGCGCCUACUCAGUGGUCUCCUCCGACCACAAGAUCGAUCUCAACGCGGGGCACAUCGGGAGAUCCAAGGCUCCUACCAAGGACAAGAUCUUCGGCUGGCUUCUUUGUCGUGAUAGGUUUAGCAAGAUGGCGAACUUACAUCGCAAGACCAUCUCUCCUCUGGCUCGGACUGUCCGCAGUGCAACAUCACUCAUGAGGAUGCGACGCACCUCGCCCAUCCUUCGCCGACGCGCGGCACAGGUCUGGUCCCUCUUGGGGCUGCAACCACCUCACUCCAUCAACCUCGUUCGGAAUACCACAACGCCGGUCGGCCUCGACAUCAACAUUUGGCCCACUGUCUAUUCUCAUCCUCCCCCCACCAGCACCCACGAAGCCAUGUCCUUUCCUCUCCUCUCUGCUCAUCCACCAUCUCCGUCGCCGUUCGCCUCACGUCUGCCAUCCCCGUGA
RNAcentral lists this ribosomal RNA (768 nucleotides) under Triticum aestivum (bread wheat). RNAcentral's name for it is "partial small subunit ribosomal RNA". Lineage: Eukaryota; Viridiplantae; Streptophyta; Magnoliopsida; Poales; Poaceae. The record is from RNAcentral.